GCGCCAGAUGCUUUCAAAUUGGUCAAGAGGAUUCUUUUGGUCACCUUCUCCCUCUAAAAAGUUUUCUUAGAAGCGGAGGUCAAUGCCUAUAUUUUUCUCUAUCGAACUAAGGUCAGCUGCUUUAACAUCUUGCAGUUUGUGAGAUCUCUAUCCAAACUCUUCCAAAAUCCAAACUAUUAACCUUAUUAUAUAUGAGUCUUACCCAGCUUUUAUUUUGGCAAUUUCUGCAGUUUUCCUGACCAUGUGGCUUUUUCUUAUAAUCAUAACUCAAGGGCCCAAGCUUUAUUUUGAGGACCCUUCCCUCCACUCAAUCUCAACAUGCUCUCCCUUUUUCACCGAAAAGCUUACGGUAAUAAUAAUGAAGUCACAAACUUCACUGACUUUUUACAUUAGCCCUCCUCAAACAAACUCCAUCCUCUAUUACCCCAUACCCCAAUCUCAGAAUUUAGAGAGAGAGAAAGAGAGAUGCUGGUUCAUCAGAGUUGCAGACUUUCCAGUAAGUGAACAUCUUUCCCCUAUUGCUGUGUUUCUCAUUUUUGAUGUGUUCAUGAAAUUCUUUCUGUACUGUCCUGUAAAAGCAUGUCAAUUUUUCAAUAGGAAACAGUAGAAUUCAGGCAGCACGUACCAAAUGCAUUUCUAAUAUAGAGAGAGGGAGACUGGAAAAAGCACAGUAAAAGCAUAGAAUCAGCCUUAACUCUCCUGCUUAAAGAGAGAGAGAGAGAGAGAGAGAGAGAGAGAGAGCAAGCAGUUUGCACGCAAAACCAACCAAUUUCAUUUCUUUCCAAUCCUGAACAUAGGGGGAGCUACACAUGAUAACCAAAAAAUAAGAAGAAGAAAACCUUUUUCUUCUUCUGUGGGAGCUACACAUGAUAACCAAAAAUAAAUAAGAAGAAAACCCUUCUUCUCUUCUGUGCCUGCAGAAAGCAGACAUGUAUACACACUCAAAAGGCUUAUUUGCCCUGCACACCAAAAAAACAAAUACCAAUCCACCAAUCCACUUCAACUGGUCAAUCCUAAUCUUACUCUUUUCUUCUUUCCUUUUUUUUGUUUUUUUCUCUGUUUUUCUUUCUGACUACUUCUCUCUUUUUCUCUCAGUGCCGACUAUACUUACACUCACGGACACAUUAUGUAAUUCUUCAGUUUCUGUACAUAUAAAACUGAUAAAGACCUGACCAUUUAUCACAAAAAGACGAUAAAAGAACACACAUUCAUAAGAUAAGAAAGAAUGGUGAGUAGACCCCCUGUGUGUUUUUGAAGAGGGAUAAAGGAGGCUGAAAUCAAAGGGCAUGAGUAAGUGCCCUCCUGCAAGAUGGUGGGGAUGUCUUGUUAGAAGAGGUCGGAAUGGAGGUAGUUUUCUGGAUUGGCGAUGGGGUCGCCAGACCGAAUGUACUUAAUAGGAAUUGCCUCUCCUGAAGAAUGGACAGACACCAUGUUAGAGAAAGAGAGAGAGAAAGAGAGAGAGAGAGAAAGUGUGUGUGUGUGUGUGUGUAUUGGAAUGUGUAUUGUAUUAUGUGCAUUUCUUUUCCUACUUGGAAUGUGUUUUGUAUAUGUGCAUUUCUUUUUCUACUUUCUUACCAUUAUUCAUGAUAAUUCUUUUUUUUUCUACACCUACAUACAUACACACAGAUCAAUGGAAUCUAGUGUUUAACUAAGCUACUGCUGAAUGGAACUGGCAGAACUGAUGGAACCCAUUGCAUGUGAUAGAAGAGAGUGUCAAUGGUGAUAAGUUAGACAAAGCUUGAAAGGAGAAAUGUAGAGUGUCAAUGGUGAUAAGUUCGGCAAAGCUUGAAAGGAGAAAUGCAGGGAAACAGUAAAGGUACGUGUUUUCUUUUCUUUUUUUUCUUUUUUUAAAUAUGAAAUAUGUUUCACCUCAUACAAUGUACUCAACUUAGAAAUCUCAAGAGAUUCAGGGGAACCAAGAGAGCCUAUGUUUUUUGAAAUAUGAAAUAUGUUAACAACUGUGUUUCCUCAAUAGUGAGAAUCUUUAGUUUUAACAAGAAACAUGCCACUGUUUUCUUAUCAUGUCCAGUGGCCAGUGCUUCUUGCAAACCACAGUCAACUAUCGUCAUCUUUUCGAACAACUGAAAGAUAAAUAUACGUUCCAAAUAUUGUAGUGUAGGAGUUUAUACAUUACACAAACCAACUAAUUUGGAUGUAUGAGGUACAGGAAUAUUGGUCUUUCCAGGGUUCUCUUCUGCCCAACAAGUGAUAUGCAUAUCUGCAGGUAAGAAAAAUUCCUGCACCUCCCUCUCUCUCUCUCUUCCUCUACUGGUACGUACGGAGACGAAGGCCAACUACCGNGGGGUAAAUGGGNNNNNNNNNNNNNNNNNNNNGUUACGUUACGUUACGUACGUACGUACGUACGUACGUAGUAGUACGUAUACGUACUACGUACGUAACGUAACGUAACGUACUACUCCUCCUCCUCCUCUCUCUCUCUCUCUCUCUCUCUCUCUCUCUCUCUCUCUCUCUCCUCCUCCUCCUCCUCCUCCUCCUCCUCCUCCUCCUCCUCCUCCUCUCUCUCUCUCUCUCUCUCUCUCUCUCUCUCUCUCUCUGCAUAUUGUGCGUGUGCAUGUGUGACUUAAACAUCAAACAACAGAAUAAACUGAGGGAACAUUUAGCAAAUGCUUCUUACACUGUCUGAAAACUGUGGACUCGGAAUACCAUCAGCGAAUGACCGAAAAAAUGGGAUCAUUCGAAGAGGAGAUGAGAACUCCACAUUCACUGAGAAACACGAGAACUUUCCAUCUUCAUUUGGCUGGAUGCAAGAUGAUAAUAGCCCCUCUGCAUCAAAAACCAAGACUCAAUCCAAUGCCAAUCCCAACAAAGCCAGACAAAACCAUAAAAAAAGAGGGGGGUCAUGCCUGUAGAAUAACCAUCUUCAAUUCCUUGAAUCUCUUCUUCAUUUUUCUCCCCAAUGCAAUCAUCUGUGUUUUCUUCCUUGUUAAAGGCUACGCAUUCUUCUGUUUGUCUUUGAUCUAUUUUGGUUAUUUCUGCAUUAGACUGGGGAUUUGAGAUGGCACUGUCUCCAGAAUUUGCUGAUAGGUCCUCAUACAAUUCAGAUUGCCUAUGCAAUGAAACCGACCAUAUUUUGUCACCAUCUUGGGCUGUCAAAUUACUAUAGCUUCUUGAAUAAUAAUUGGCUUAUUACCUCAAUGGAAAAGGGCUCCCUGUUUGACUGCUUUUCAAAUCUGUAAUCAAGUUUUUGAAGUCUUCAAAUAGUGGAUCAAGACCGGCAACUUUGUGUCUCAAAAUAUCUGAAUCUCCACUCUGAGCUAAGAACUCCUGGAGUUCCUGUAGUUCACAGAACAUUAAAUAUGAGGUACAAAUUUAAGAAAAAUGUUUAUUCAAAUUAAAGAAUAUUUUUUGAAAUUAAGUUCUUUUAGUAAAUAUUAUUGUUUCUAAUGUAAAGUGAGCAGCUUAGGGUCCAUUUGAUUGUCAAAUUAGAUCCAAGGAGUUUUUUUUUUUUUUUUCUCAAUUUAUAUUUGACCAAAUCAUAUUUUGGUGAAUUUUCAUUUCCUGCUUACAGGUGUGUGAUUGUCCCAAUUUGAAUUGCAAUUUUUUAUUGUGCGGUGCAAUGGUUAGGUGUGGCCAUGUGCAACGGAGGUGGUAGUGGUGGAGUGGUGGUGUUGGUGGUGGCAGCAGUGGAAUGGUGGUGGUUGUGGCUGGAUCGUGGUGGUUAUGGCAGUGCGGUGGUGGUCGUGGCAGUGCACUGGUGUUGGUGGCGAUAUGGGUGGCAAUGGUGGUGGGGUUUUGGUAAAGAGAGAGACAAUUGAUGCAAAAACCACUCCUAGUGGUUUUUCCACAGAUGACAAUUGGGGGUCGAAAAAUCAAUUGCAAUUUCAAAAUCUAACAGACCUACAGGGUCACAUUGUAAUUGGCCAGAUUUGUAAUUUGGUCCAAGUUACAAUUUGGCCUCAAUUUGGCUAGAAAUGAAAUGCGCCCUUAGUAUGUGGUUAUGGCCUUAAUGUGAGACCAAACUGAGAACAUGGAUCAGAAAUGCUUUACGAUAUUUGCAUUUGCUC
This 4025-nucleotide long non-coding RNA is filed under the name Amborella trichopoda. RNAcentral describes it as "long non-coding RNA (ATRI_LNC000220)". The record is from RNAcentral. Lineage: Eukaryota; Viridiplantae; Streptophyta; Magnoliopsida; Amborellales; Amborellaceae.